This 340-nucleotide long non-coding RNA is filed under the name Helianthus annuus (common sunflower). RNAcentral's name for it is "sRNA HanXRQr2_Chr16g0728701". Lineage: Eukaryota; Viridiplantae; Streptophyta; Magnoliopsida; Asterales; Asteraceae. The record is from RNAcentral.
GGAAUCAUCAACAUCAGACAUCCGCAGAAUCGCGAUUCAAGAGGUAUUUUUUAUGUUUCAUCGUGAAAAAGUUAAUCCUUACAUAAUCAAGAAAGUUAGCAUAAUGAUUUGCACCAGAAGCGAUAAUUCUUUUUUCAUCUUUUAACCAUAACAAUAUCGUACUUCUUUUUCAUGGAAUAAGGUUCAAAUGAGAACCGUUGCUUAAUUAGCAACCACUUUACAGCCCUUCGUAAUAUUUUCAUGGUUGACAUCUUCCUCACUUAUGUCUUUUGUAAUCUAUGAAUCGUGACCAGGUGAUCAAAGGCUAAGAAGUGACUUCAAAGUUGUUGAGUAAAGGGGA